Molecule: ribosomal RNA, 465 nt
Filed under: uncultured bacterium
Lineage: Bacteria
Description: partial 16S ribosomal RNA
Rfam family: Bacterial small subunit ribosomal RNA
Source: RNAcentral
GACGAACGCUGGCGGCGUGCUUAACACAUGCAAGUCGAACGGAAAGGCCCCCUUGGGGGUACUCGAGUGGCGAACGGGUGAGUAACACGUGAGUAACCUGCCCUUGACUUCGGGAUAACUUCAGGAAACUGGGGCUAAUACCGGCUAGGAAUCCUUGCUGCAUGGUGGGGGUUGGAAAGCCUCGGCGGUUUUGGAUGGACUCGCGGCUUAUUAGCUUGUUGGUGGGGUAGUGGCUUACCAAGGCUUUGACGGGUAGCCGGCCCGAGAGGGCGACCGGCCACCUUGGGACUGAGAAAAGGCCCAGAACCCUACGGGGGGCAGCAGUAGGGAAUACUGCAAUAUGGGUAGAAGUCUGAUGUAGGAACUGCAGGGGCGGGAAGACGGACUUGGGGUUGUAAGCCGCUUUCAGCAGGGGCGAAGCUGUUGGUGACGGUACCUGCAGAAUAAGCAACGGCUAACUACGUG